This 246-nucleotide long non-coding RNA is filed under the name Hordeum vulgare. RNAcentral's name for it is "long non-coding RNA (HVUL_LNC004785)". Lineage: Eukaryota; Viridiplantae; Streptophyta; Magnoliopsida; Poales; Poaceae. The record is from RNAcentral.
UGCUACUCUGUUAUAAUACUCAUCGAAGUACUGUGCGUGUCAGCAUACCGAUCCAGGGAUGACACAGAUGCAUAGAGACUGGACUGAUUGAGGUCUGGUCGCUACAGAGAUGGUAUCAGAGCACACGUUGACUGUAGGACACGACCACUAAGCUAAAACCAUAGGUCACUCCUCUCUUCUCAUUUUCUAACUCCUCUCCCCUUUCAAAUCUAUAGGAUGGUGGAUAAAAGGAGCAAGUUUACUCAA